This 113-nucleotide ribosomal RNA is filed under the name Erinaceus europaeus (western European hedgehog). Lineage: Eukaryota; Metazoa; Chordata; Mammalia; Eulipotyphla; Erinaceidae. The record is from RNAcentral.
ACAAACAGAAACACCCAGAACACACCCAGUCUUGUUUGCUCUCAGAAGCUAAGCAAGGUCAGGCCUGGUUAGUACUUGGAUGGGGAUAGGAGACUGCCAAGACAUAGUAUCUU